UUUUUCUCCUUUUUUUUUUUUUGUUAAUUUGUUGUUUCAUAUUGUUUAUUAUAUGGGCACUGUGAUAUGCAUUUUGUUAUUGUCAAUUGUGAUAUGACUUUUAUUAAAUGAAUAUUGUGAAUUUCAUUAGAAUGGUUAUUUAAUUUAAUUUUAAAAUGAUAUAGGUCCUAUUAAUUAGAGGUUUGAUACGCUCCACUUGGGUUACGAUAAAUGGGUAUUGUGCAUUGUCCAUUGUGACAUGACUUUAGUUAAAUGGGUAAUGCGUAUUUGCAAAUGGUUAUUAAAUUUUAAAAUGGUUUAGUUCCUUUUGGUUUAGGAUAAAUGAGUAUUGUCAAUUGUGGUAUGAUUUUUAUUAAAUGGUAAUUAUGUAUUUGCAAAUGGUUAUUUAAUUUUAAAAUGGCUUAAGCUCCUCUUGGUUUAGAAUAAAUGGGUAUUGUCAACUGUGAUAUGAUCUUUAUUAAAUGGGUAUUAUGUAUUUGCAAAUAGUUAUUCAAUGUUAAAAUGGUUUAGGUACUAUUAAUUGAAGGUAGACAUAGGAAACCCUGUCGCCUAUCGCCUUAAUAACAAUAACCAUGAGUGAGUAGUUUUCUUGUUCAAUGGAGAAGAUUGUUGAAACCAUGAAACAAUUAUCAUAAGAAAAUUUUAAGCUAUCAAUUAAAUCAGCAUUUUCUUCACUUUAUCUAUGCAUUCUCUUGUAAUUCAUCAAAAGAUGGCAUGUGUGAUUGAUCAAGAACACUACUAUUUGAUUAUGCAUGUUGAUCUAAUGGUAGUUAGAAUGAUUAAGUCCGUAAUUGCUUGCCUAACAUACAUAGCAAAGGUAAUAUUGUGUGAAUUAAUCAUAUUGCUCAGAGAUUCAUACACUAGGUUAAAUAUUAUGCCACUUGUUGUACAAUUGUUACCUAAAAUUGGUAAUACCUCUCUAGUGUUUUAAGAGCUGCCAUUGAGGUAAAUCUUGCGCAUGACUAAGGUUGUUGAAUUAGUUAGGGGUUAAUUAGAUGCUUGCUUUGAUUAAUCUAAUAAGGAAAGACAGGGAAAUCAACACUUGUUUAGUUUCUAUAGCAAAUUUGUUUAAGUGAAUAAAUUUAUGCAUUAUUAUCAAUGAUUUAUAAUUAAUUUCCAUGGUAGAUACAUAUAUCUCUACUGAGCCGUUUACCAUAUAGUGUUUUUCAUAUUUAGUUGCAUUCUUGUUACUUUGAUCAUUAGUGAUUUGCAUACCUUUAGUUUUUAGUUUAAUUUACUUAGAAUUAUGUUAGCAAACCUUUGAAGUUUUACACUCAUGGGUGAAAGAAAAGAAUAGAAGGAGAUCAGGUCCAAGUCAAUUCUGACAGUUGAGAUAGUGCUGCCACAUUCUUAGUGCCGCUGCUAUAAUGCUGCCAUGUUCUUAGUGCUGCUAGUGCUGCUAGUGCUGCUGUUACGAUCAUGCCAUGUUGUCAUUUUUUAAUUGUUAGUUCGAGAAGUAAAUACCACAUUUCAGUUAUUAUUUUUAUCUUUAUUUCCUUAAUUGUAGGAGGGUGAUCCUAGAUGUUUAUUGUUCCUUGUCUUUAGGAAUUGGUUAUCUCUUCUCUUUUGUAUUUAAGUGCAGCACAUCAAUAAAAGAAGUACCACAAAAUUUCCAAAGUUGUUUGAGCACUUUAAGAGAAACAAGUUCUCUAAUGAGCUUU
This 1661-nucleotide unclassified non-coding RNA is filed under the name Hevea brasiliensis (rubber tree). The record is from RNAcentral. Lineage: Eukaryota; Viridiplantae; Streptophyta; Magnoliopsida; Malpighiales; Euphorbiaceae.